RNAcentral lists this long non-coding RNA (538 nucleotides) under Heterocephalus glaber (naked mole-rat). RNAcentral's name for it is "lncRNA (ENSHGLG00000048964.1)". Lineage: Eukaryota; Metazoa; Chordata; Mammalia; Rodentia; Bathyergidae. The record is from RNAcentral.
GGACAGCACAGAGGAGCGCGGGGUUCAGAGGAGGCUCCGCCCCAGGACGCCCUCCUGACCGCGCCCCAAGCCCGCCCCGGGGGGCCCCCGGCUCCGGGCCUCUCUGCCAGGUUCCGGACAGAGGUCCACAGCAGCCAGGCGAGCCAAAAAUAGCGUGUUGCUGCGGAAAACGAACACCGACUUACCAGCUCGGGUGUCAGCAGCUGAAGACUCACAGCCCCAUAUCCAUCAAGCCGUGACCGACCCAGGAGAGCUCUGCGGAAGAGAAGACAGCAGCUCCUCCCCAGUCUUCGGUCUCCCCGGGGCAGAACCGGCUUCCCACCUGGACAGAGGCAGGACUCGCCUUUCCCACCUGUUGGGAAGCUCAUUUCCAGCCAAUUCCAGCUCAGACCGGCCUAGAACCUUGCGGUGACCCUGCUGUCUCUCCCCGUGGCCCAACCCAGCGCUCUCUCAGCCGCCAGUUUUGGCCUGAUCGAACUAAAUCUCAUUUUAUAUUUUAACACCACUUGCAGGUUAGAAAGCACUGCGAAGUGUAGAC